RNAcentral lists this ribosomal RNA (229 nucleotides) under uncultured bacterium. RNAcentral's name for it is "partial 16S ribosomal RNA". It matches the Rfam family "Bacterial small subunit ribosomal RNA", at positions 93 to 339 of the family's 1533-position model. The record is from RNAcentral.
UAGUGGCAGACGGGAUAGUAACGCGUGGGAAUUUGCCCAAUAGUACGGAAUAACUGCGGGAAACUGCAGCUAAUACCGUGUACGCCCUCCGGGGGAAAGAUUUAUCGCUAUUGGAUAAGCCCGCGUCGAAUUAGCUUGUUGGUGAGGUAAUGGCUCACCAAGGCGACGAUUCGUAGCUGGUCUGAGAGGACGAUCAGCAUCACUGGGACUGAGACACGGCCCAGACUCC